UACGAACCGUGCGAACGUUGUUCGGAAUCACUGGGCUUAAAGGGCGCGUAGGCGGGCGGUCAAGUCGGUGGUGAAAUCCUUCAGCUUAACUGGAGAAUGGCCGCCGAUACUGACUGCCUCGAGGGAGGUAGGGGCAUGUGGAACUUCCGGUGGAGCGGUGAAAUGCGUAGAGAUCCGGAGGAACACCGACGGCGUAGGCAGCGCCCUGGACGACACCUGACGCUGAGGCACGAAAGCUGGGGGAGCGAACAGG
Molecule: ribosomal RNA, 253 nt
Filed under: uncultured bacterium
Lineage: Bacteria
Description: partial 16S ribosomal RNA
Rfam family: Bacterial small subunit ribosomal RNA
Source: RNAcentral